This 498-nucleotide ribosomal RNA is filed under the name uncultured bacterium. Its description in RNAcentral is "partial 16S ribosomal RNA". It matches the Rfam family "Bacterial small subunit ribosomal RNA", at positions 28 to 508 of the family's 1533-position model. The record is from RNAcentral.
GAUGAACGCUGGCGGCGUGCCUAAUACAUGCAAGUCGAGCGAACAGACGAGGAGCUUGCUCCUCUGACGUUAGCGGCGGACGGGUGAGUAACACGUGGAUAACCUACCUAUAAGACUGGGAUAACUUCGGGAAACCGGAGCUAAUACCGGAUAAUAUAUUGAACCGCAUGGUUCAAUAGUGAAAGACGGUUUUGCUGUCACUUAUAGAUGGAUCCGCGCCGCAUCAGCUAGUUGGUAAGGUAACGGCUUACCAAGGCAACGAUGCGUAGCCGACCUGAGAGGGUGAUCGGCCACACUGGAACUGAGACACGGUCCAGACUCCUACGGGAGGCAGCAGUAGGGAAUCUUCCGCAAUGGGCGAAAGCCUGACGGAGCAACGCCGCGUGAGUGAUGAAGGUCGUCGGAUCGUAAAACUCUGUUAUUAGGGAAGAACAAAUGUGUAAGUAACUAUGCACGUCUUGACGGUACCUAAUCAGAAAGCCACGGCUAACUACGUGC